RNAcentral lists this unclassified non-coding RNA (366 nucleotides) under Hevea brasiliensis (rubber tree). Lineage: Eukaryota; Viridiplantae; Streptophyta; Magnoliopsida; Malpighiales; Euphorbiaceae. The record is from RNAcentral.
UCAUGAAUGACGCCAAAACAAGGCCUCCAACGACCAUCAAACCUAACCUCAAAAACAAAGCAGUGAUUCCGAAAAUACUAGGCAAUGCGGGGGCUAAAAUUGCAAGAAAUGCCAUCCCUAACCCAUAGUAGCACGCAGCAAUGUCACAACAUGAUUGCUGCCGCUGAUGACCUUUUCCAGAUUCAUGGUCCAAAGAUGUAGAAUUGGCCCGAGAUUGUCCAGCUCGAUUUGCCACAGCUUUUCCCCAUUGAUAAACUAAGUACAAAUAACUUCCAAACUGAAGGAAGAAAAGUGUAAACGUCCACUCGUACAUCAGGAAAAGACCGGUCCACGGCAUUACUUGGCGGGGGAUAAUUACAAGUGAAA